UAAAGUCAGACCGCCCAAUGAUAUUUUAAAUGGCCGCAGUAGUUUAAUUGUGCAAAGGUAGCAGAAUAAUUUGUUUUAUUAAUUGGAAACUUGCAUGAAUGGUCAUAAGAAAGAUUGACUUUCAUUAUUAAUCUUGUAUUAAAUAGUUUUAUUUUUCUGUGAAAAAGCAGAGAUUUUUUUAUUAAACGAUAAGACCCUUUAAAACUUUAUAUAUAUAUAAAAGCAUGAGUUUUUAUUUUUUUUAUUUUGUGCUAUUAAUUUAGUGAAUUUUGUUGGGGCGACAGGUAAAUUUAUUGAACUUUACUUUUUUUAUAUCACAAAUUAGUGUU
Molecule: ribosomal RNA, 329 nt
Filed under: Cimex hemipterus
Lineage: Eukaryota; Metazoa; Arthropoda; Insecta; Hemiptera; Cimicidae
Description: partial large subunit ribosomal RNA
Source: RNAcentral